RNAcentral lists this ribosomal RNA (447 nucleotides) under uncultured bacterium. RNAcentral describes it as "bacterial SSU rRNA". It matches the Rfam family "Bacterial small subunit ribosomal RNA", at positions 355 to 825 of the family's 1533-position model. The record is from RNAcentral.
UCAAGAAACUUCCACAAUGGGCGAAAGCCUGACCCAGCAACGCCGCGUGAAGGAUGAAGUAUUUCGGUAUGUAAACUUCGUAAGAAUAGGAAGAAUAAAUGACGGUACUAUUUGUAAGGUCCGGCUAACUACGUGCCAGCAGCCGCGGUAAUACGUAGGGACCAAGCGUUGUUCGGAUUUACUGGGCGUAAAGGGCGCGUAGGCGGUGUGUCAAGUCAGUUGUGAAAUCUCCGAGCUUAACUCGGAACGGUCAACUGAUACUGUCACACUAGAGUACAGAAGGGGCAAUCGGAAUUCUUGGUGUAGCGGUGAAAUGCGUAGAUAUCAAGAGGAACACCUGAGGUGAAGACGGGUUGCUGGGCUGACACUGACGCUGAGGCGCGAAAGCCAGGGGAGCAAACGGGAUUAGAUACCCCUGUAGUCCCUGAGCGGGCUGGCAAGGCGCAU